GGAUUAGAUACCCUGGUAGUCCACGCCGUAAACGAUGAUAACUAGCUGUCCGGGCACUUGGUGCUUGGGUGGCGCAGCUAACGCAUUAAGUUAUCCGCCUGGGGAGUACGGUCGCAAGAUUAAAACUCAAAGGAAUUGACGGGGGCCUGCACAAGCGGUGGAGCAUGUGGUUUAAUUCGAAGCAACGCGCAGAACCUUACCAGCGUUUGACAUGUCCGGACGAUUUCCAGAGAUGGAUCUCUUCCCUUCGGGGACUGGAACACAGGUGCUGCAUGGCUGUCGUCAGCUCGUGCCG
RNAcentral lists this ribosomal RNA (295 nucleotides) under uncultured bacterium. RNAcentral's name for it is "partial 16S ribosomal RNA". It matches the Rfam family "Bacterial small subunit ribosomal RNA", at positions 775 to 1067 of the family's 1533-position model. The record is from RNAcentral.